UAGUGGCGAACGGGUGAGUAACACGUGGGUAAUCUGCCCUGUACUCUGGGAUAAGCCUUGGAAACGGGGUCUAAUACCGGAUAUCACCUUCUCUCGCAUGGGAGAGGGUUGAAAGUUCCGGCGGUGCAGGAUGAGCCCGCGGCCUAUCAGCUUGUUGGUGGGGUGAUGGCCUACCAAGGCGACGACGGGUAGCCGGCCUGAGAGGGUGACCGGCCACACUGGGACUGAGACACGGCCCAGACUCCUACGGGAGGCAGCAGUGGGGAAUAUUGCACAAUGGGCGGAAGCCUGAUGCAGCGACGCCGCGUGGGGGAUGACGGCCUUCGGGUUGUAAACCUCUUUCGCCAGGGACGAAGCGCAAGUGACGGUACCUGGAUAAGAAGCACCGGCUAACUACGUGCCAGCAGCCGCGGUAAUACGUAGGGUGCGAGCGUUGUCCGGAUUUAUUGGGCGUAAAGAGCUCGUAGGCGGUUUGUCGCGUCGUUCGUGAAAACUCCACGCUUAACGUGGAGCGUGCGGGCGAUACGGGCAGACUUGAGUUCGGUAGGGGAGACUGGAAUUCCU
Molecule: ribosomal RNA, 564 nt
Filed under: Amycolatopsis sp. 322B11
Lineage: Bacteria; Bacillati; Actinomycetota; Actinomycetes; Pseudonocardiales; Pseudonocardiaceae
Description: bacterial SSU rRNA
Rfam family: Bacterial small subunit ribosomal RNA
Source: RNAcentral